GACGAACGCUGGCGGCGUGCUUAACACAUGCAAGUCGAACGGAAAGGCCCUUCGGGGUACUCGAGUGGCGAACGGGUGAGUAACACGUGGGUGAUCUGCCCUGCACUUUGGGAUAAGCCUGGGAAACUGGGUCUAAUACCGAAUAGGACCACGCGCUUCAUGGUGUGUGGUGGAAAGCUUUUGCGGUGUGGGAUGGGCCCGCGGCCUAUCAGCUUGUUGGUGGGGUAAUGGCCUACCAAGGCGACGACGGGUAGCCGGCCUGAGAGGGUGACCGGCCACACUGGGACUGAGAUACGGCCCAGACUCCUACGGGAGGCAGCAGUGGGGAAUAUUGCACAAUGGGCGCAAGCCUGAUGCAGCGACGCCGCGUGAGGGAUGACGGCCUUCGGGUUGUAAACCUCUUUCAAUAGGGACGAAGCGCAAGUGACGGUACCUAUAGAAGAAGCACCGACCAACUACGUG
RNAcentral lists this ribosomal RNA (462 nucleotides) under uncultured bacterium. RNAcentral's name for it is "partial 16S ribosomal RNA". It matches the Rfam family "Bacterial small subunit ribosomal RNA", at positions 28 to 507 of the family's 1533-position model. The record is from RNAcentral.